This 703-nucleotide ribosomal RNA is filed under the name Linognathus vituli. RNAcentral's name for it is "small subunit ribosomal RNA". The record is from RNAcentral. Lineage: Eukaryota; Metazoa; Arthropoda; Insecta; Psocodea; Linognathidae.
UUAAUUAUAAUGCUAAUUUAUCAGCAUAAAGAUUGACUAUAAGAUUAAAAUCUACUCAUCUAACCAGAAAGAUGGAAGAUUCUACAAUGACAGAUAGAGUAAAUCUUCAUAAGGUUUUAGAAACUAAGUGCCAGCACUAGCGGUCAUACUUACAAACCAAAUCAAUCGAUACAGAGUUACACUUAAAAUCAUGAUAAAUAAGAUGGAUACAGAGGUAAAAUUCAUAGAUCUAAUCUUACAUCCCAAAACCAAGUGAUACAUUUCAGUCAUAAACUAGGAUUAGAUACCCUACUAUUUGUAACAUAACUAUUAAACUUAGAGAGUAACUGAUAAAUCAUGAAAUCAAGAUAAUUAUGGCAGUAGAAUUUCAGAUCAGAGGCACAUGUUCUCAAACGAAGCUACACGAACAUCUUACCCCUCUUUAAAUUUUGUACACCGCUGUCUACAGGCCUUAGAUCACCCUAUCGCCCCAAUACCCUCUUAGGUUAUAAGUCAAGUCAAGGUGCAGACAAUAGAGUGGCUUGAAUGUGUGUCAUUAUUUAGAUCCCAACCCAUCCAUGCAAUAGUUUGGCUUAAAGAAUUUGACAGUAAUCGGUGUUCACCAUACACCAAUGAAUUAGUAACUUUCUAGGUACAAAUCGCCCGUCACUCCCUACCAGGGGAUAAGUCGUAACACAGUUGACCUACUGGAAAGUGGGUCAGG